AUUGAACGCUGGCGGCAUGCUUUACACAUGCAAGUCGAACGGUAAACCUAUUAUUGAAACUUCGGUCGAUUUAAUUUGUUUCUAGUGGCGGACGGGUGAGUAACGCGUGGGUAACCUGCCCUAUACAGGGGGAUAACAACCAGAAAUGGUUGCUAAUACCGCAUAAGCGCACGGGACCGCAUGGUCCAGUGUGAAAAACUCCGGUGGUAUAGGAUGGACCCGCGUUGGAUUAGCUAGUUGGUGGGGUAACGGCCCACCAAGGCAACGAUCCAUAGCCGGCCUGGGAGGGUGAACGGCCACAUUGGGACUGAGACACGGCCCAGACUCCUACGGGAGGCAGCAGUGGGGAAUAUUGCACAAUGGGGGAAACCCUGAUGCAGCGACGCCGCGUGAAGGAAGAAGUAUCUCGGUAUGUAAACUUCUAUCAGCAGGGAAGAUAGUGACGGUACCUGACUAAGAAGCCCCGGCUAACUACGUGCCAGCAGCCGCAGUAA
Molecule: ribosomal RNA, 494 nt
Filed under: uncultured bacterium
Lineage: Bacteria
Description: partial 16S ribosomal RNA
Rfam family: Bacterial small subunit ribosomal RNA
Source: RNAcentral